AUACGUAGGGGGCGAGCGUUGUCCGGAAUGAUUGGGCGUAAAGGGCGCGUAGGCGGCGCGGUAAGUCUGGAGUGAAAGUCCUGCUUUCAAGGUGGGAAUUGCUUUGGAUACUGCCGCGCUUGAGUGCAGGAGAGGUUAUCGGAAUUCCCGGUGUAGCGGUGAAAUGCGUAGAGAUCGGGAGGAACACCGGUGGCGAAGGCGGGGCGCUGGGAAGUAACUGACGCUGAGGAGCGAAAGCAUGGGUAGCGAACAGGAUUGGAUCCCCUGGUAGUCCAUGCCUUAAACGGUGGGCACAAUUUGUAGGGGUCUUCCACGACUUCUGUGCCGUAGCUAACGCUUUAGGCUGCCCGCCUGGGGAGUACGUCCGCAAGGCUAAAACUCGAAGGAAUUGGCGGUU
This 397-nucleotide ribosomal RNA is filed under the name uncultured bacterium. RNAcentral describes it as "partial 16S ribosomal RNA". It matches the Rfam family "Bacterial small subunit ribosomal RNA", at positions 523 to 918 of the family's 1533-position model. The record is from RNAcentral.